This 279-nucleotide ribosomal RNA is filed under the name uncultured bacterium. Its description in RNAcentral is "partial 16S ribosomal RNA". It matches the Rfam family "Bacterial small subunit ribosomal RNA", at positions 506 to 784 of the family's 1533-position model. The record is from RNAcentral.
UGCCAGCCGCCGCGGUAAUACGAAGGGGGCUAGCGUUGUUCGGAAUCACUGGGCGUAAAGCGCGCGUAGGCGGAUUGGUAAGUCUGAUGUGAAAGCCCGGGGCUCAACCCCGGAAGUGCAUUGGAUACUGGCAGUCUUGAGUAUGGGAGAGGAAAGUGGAAUUCCGAGUGUAGGAGUGAAAUCCGUAGAUAUUCGGAGGAACACCAGUGGCGAAGGCGACACACUGGGUCUUAACUGACGCUGAGGCAGUAAAGCUAGGGUAGCGAACGGGAUUAGAUA